UGGCAGUGUCUUAGCUGGUUGUUGUGUGCGAUGAUUGAAGCAGCAAUCAGCAAGCAUACUGCUGCA
RNAcentral lists this microRNA precursor (66 nucleotides) under Python bivittatus (Burmese python). RNAcentral's name for it is "Pbv-Mir-34-P1_pre stem-loop". Lineage: Eukaryota; Metazoa; Chordata; Lepidosauria; Squamata; Pythonidae. The record is from RNAcentral.